AUACGGAGGGUGCAAGCGUUACUCGGAAUCACUGGGCGUAAAGCGCGCGCAGGCGGUCUUUUAAGUUGGAUGUGAAAGCCUACGGCUCAACCGUAGAACUGCAUCCAAAACUAUUAGACUAGAGUGUGGGAGAGGAUGAUGGAAUUAGUUGUGUAGGGGUAAAAUCCGUAGAGAUAACUAGGAAUACCAAAAGCGAAGGCAAUCUUCUGGAACACUACUGACGCUGAGGCGCGAAAGCGUGGGGAGCAAACAGGAUUAGAAACCCGAGUAGUCC
RNAcentral lists this ribosomal RNA (274 nucleotides) under uncultured bacterium. Its description in RNAcentral is "partial 16S ribosomal RNA". It matches the Rfam family "Bacterial small subunit ribosomal RNA", at positions 523 to 796 of the family's 1533-position model. The record is from RNAcentral.